Molecule: non-coding RNA, 236 nt
Organism: Pelobates cultripes (western spadefoot toad)
Lineage: Eukaryota; Metazoa; Chordata; Amphibia; Anura; Pelobatidae
Source: the annotation of a GenBank genome assembly
CUUUCAUUUAACAUCAAAUAUUUAGCUAUGAAACAUAAUUUAAUAUGAAUAAAAUAUUAAAAAAAUGGGAGAAAAUAAGACAUUUUUUUUUUUUUAGUUCUACGUGACAUUUUAACUGUGAAUGUCAUAAUACUGUUUGCUUUUACUUCAAUAAAAUACACAUUUGUAUUCAGUGAUGUCUCCCGUGUAAAACAGUACCCCCUAUAUACAGGUUUUAUGGUGUUUUGGAAAGUUAC